GGAUGAGCCCGCGGCCUAUCAGCUUGUUGGUGGGGUGAUGGCCUACCAAGGCGACGACGGGUAGCCGGCCUGAGAGGGUGACCGGCCGCACUGGGACUGAGACACAGCCCAGACUCCUACGGGAGGCAGCAGUGGGGAAUAUUGCACAAUGGGCGCAAGCCUGAUGCAGCGACGCCGCGUGAGGGAUGACGGCCUUCGGGUUGUAAACCUCUUUCAGUAGGGAAGAAGGCCUUCGGGUUGACGGUACCUGCAGAAGAAGCGCCGGCUAACUACGUGACAGCAGCCGCGGCCG
This 292-nucleotide ribosomal RNA is filed under the name uncultured Georgenia sp. RNAcentral's name for it is "partial 16S ribosomal RNA". It matches the Rfam family "Bacterial small subunit ribosomal RNA", at positions 223 to 523 of the family's 1533-position model. The record is from RNAcentral. Lineage: Bacteria; Bacillati; Actinomycetota; Actinomycetes; Allobogoriellales; Allobogoriellaceae.